Long non-coding RNA from Engraulis encrasicolus (European anchovy), 822 nucleotides. RefSeq lists it as uncharacterized. The record is from RefSeq and is a predicted model, not a curated record. Lineage: Eukaryota; Metazoa; Chordata; Actinopteri; Clupeiformes; Engraulidae. The transcript has 4 exons.
CCUUGCAUCGACUACAGACAGGACAUUUUCCUGCACAUGCAACCAGCUGUUUCAUUAUUCCUACACAAGUACCACCACAACACUGGCGAAAGAUCAAUUCUUCGGAAAUCAAGAGACCUCAGUGGACCCACACAAGAGCUCAGGAACAGCGGAGAGCAGGGACUUCUCUCAUCACCUGGAAAGAAACUAGCUGACCAGAACCCAUAAGAAACAGCUAUAAAAGAGGUAUGCCUAUAAUUAGACACAUGUUAAGUGUAAGAUCCAUGAUCAGGUAGAGACACUUCAAACUAAUAUUUUCUACAACCUAUCCACAUCUGGCUGCACCCUUAGCAUUAAUACAAUUCCUGUAGGAACUGACAUCCUGACAUGUUACUUCUGACAGCUAAUAACUUACUCCUGUUACAUCUGACUCAUUGUGGUAGAUUCAUCCUUGUCUCUGUAAUAGAUGCCAGCCAGCAGAUAUCUGUAUUCAACCUUAGCAAACCGUGGCAGUUAAAUUGUAGGUAUGAUGUGAUCAUUACAAAAAUAGUAUUCUCUGUGUGUGUGUGUGUGUGUGUGUGACUGUGAGUGAGAGAGAGUUUCCAGCUGUUCAUGCUACAGUGGCUGUGCUGUGGAUACUGUGCCAGGUGUCAACAUGCAUGGACCAGACCACAAAUACCAGGUGUUAAUGCCACAGUAGCUGAUGCAGAUGCUGUGCCAAAUGCCAGCAUGGAUCUGCCGGAUCACUAACCGCAUGUGUCUACAUCAGAUUGGGGAGUUGGACACUGUGUAUGCCUGAUGUACAUCAGAAGGCUUUCCAGGCAGGCCGACCAGACCAAUUGG